Ictidomys tridecemlineatus (thirteen-lined ground squirrel) is the source of this 63-nucleotide small nuclear RNA. Its record names the gene U7. It matches the Rfam family "U7 small nuclear RNA". Rfam says of the family: Animal histone pre-mRNAs are spliced by a different mechanism than nuclear pre-mRNAs and self-splicing introns. The record is from Ensembl. NCBI's taxonomy places the organism in Eukaryota, Metazoa, Chordata, Mammalia, Rodentia, Sciuridae.
UAGUGGGGCAGCUCUUUCAGGAAUUUGUUUAGCAGGUUUUUCAGUUCUUUCUGGAAGACCCCC